This 356-nucleotide ribosomal RNA is filed under the name uncultured bacterium. RNAcentral's name for it is "bacterial SSU rRNA". It matches the Rfam family "Bacterial small subunit ribosomal RNA", at positions 917 to 1267 of the family's 1533-position model. The record is from RNAcentral.
GGACCCGCACAAGCAGUGGAGCAUGUGGUUUAAUUCGACGCAACGCGAAGAACCUUACCAGCGUUUGACAUGGGAAGUGCCGGUUACAGAAUGGUAACCUUCAGUUCGGCUGGCUUCCACACAGGUGCUGCAUGGCUGUCGUCAGCUCGUGUCGUGAGAUGUUGGUUAAGUCCCGCAACGAGCGCAACCCUUAUCGUUAGUUACUAACAGUUCGGCUGAGGACUCUAGCGAAACUGCCGGUGAUAAAGCCCGGAGGAAAGGUGGGGGAUGACGUCAAGUCCUCAUGGCCCUUACACGCUGGGCUACACACGUGCUACAAUGGUAACUACAACGGGACGCAAUACCGCGAGGUGGAG